Thamnophis elegans (Western terrestrial garter snake) is the source of this 302-nucleotide long non-coding RNA. RefSeq lists it as uncharacterized. The record is from RefSeq and is a predicted model, not a curated record. The transcript has 3 exons. Lineage: Eukaryota; Metazoa; Chordata; Lepidosauria; Squamata; Natricidae.
UCUCCUUUGCUCGAGGCUUGUCUAACUAAGCUAAGUCAAUAAAACUUUGUCCGCAGACACACAGAGCUUUCAGCACACAACUUGCUGAAGUUGUGUCCCAAAAUGGAGUGCUGCAAAUAUAUAUUGGGUUAGUUUCUUUCUCUACACAGUUCAAGGAAAUAUUCUGGACAAUUAUGUAAGGACAGAUGGUGCUUGGAUCCUUGGUCAGAACCACCAUCUAUAGAACUUAACUAAAGGAGCUUGUGCUAUCAAAUGUGAAACUGAAACAGCAUUUACCUGCAGAGCGUUUCUAUUUACAGCGA